Small nucleolar RNA from Cynocephalus volans (Philippine flying lemur), 124 nucleotides. RefSeq annotates it as small nucleolar RNA SNORA28. NCBI's taxonomy places the organism in Eukaryota, Metazoa, Chordata, Mammalia, Dermoptera, Cynocephalidae. The record is from RefSeq and is a predicted model, not a curated record. The transcript has a single exon.
AAGUAACACUUUGUGACACCUGACUGAAACUGUCUGACACAAUUUGAGGUUGCUGUAGCAAGAAAGUCUAACCUAUUCAUUGUUCCCUCUUAACGAGACAAGCCCUUAUAUAUACUUAAAUAGU